GAGAGAAGGCACUUCAACUUGGAUUGCAAAUAAUUGCAAAGAUUAAGGGCUAUGCUGAUGCAGCUCAGGCACCUGAAUUCUUUACAACUGCUCCAGCCCUUGUGAUACCAAAAGCUAUUUCAAAUGCUGGUUUAGAUGCUUCUCAGAUUGAUUACUAUGAAAUAAAUGAAGUGUUUUCUGAAAGCCUUAACGUACAUGGUGGGGCUGUAUCAUUGGGACACCCAUUAGGAUGCAGUGGAGCUCGUAUCUUGGUCACAUUGUUAGGGGUAAUCUAUAAGCUUCCCUUCUCUUGCAAUGCAUUCCUAGUUUGACAUUCUAAUAUCAUUUAUAUAGUUCUCUGGUUUUGUUUACAUGUUUUCUUAAUGAUCUAAAGUCAUAGUUCGUGGUCAUAUCUAAGCUUAUGCUUUCUACAUAUACUCAUGUGAAGUGAUCUCGUGUUUGUCAUUUAUUCUUUUA
This is a long non-coding RNA of Humulus lupulus (European hop), 456 nucleotides long. RefSeq lists it as uncharacterized. The record is from RefSeq and is a predicted model, not a curated record. The transcript is spliced from 3 exons. Lineage: Eukaryota; Viridiplantae; Streptophyta; Magnoliopsida; Rosales; Cannabaceae.